This is a long non-coding RNA of Herpailurus yagouaroundi (jaguarundi), 454 nucleotides long. RefSeq lists it as uncharacterized. Lineage: Eukaryota; Metazoa; Chordata; Mammalia; Carnivora; Felidae. The record is from RefSeq and is a predicted model, not a curated record. The transcript is spliced from 2 exons.
AAUUAUGAGGCAGGAGAAUGGGGUGUUUUGAUUUGUGUUCUUUGAGGAUUAGCCAAGCGCCCCACUGCCAAAUCCGCGAUCACCUGAAAGGAAAUCUGAAGGAAGAACCUGCCAGGGUUUCAGGAAAAGGGAUGAUGCUAGCAAUAUUAAAUAAAGCAACUGGGGAAGAAAAUUCAAGAAAACUUAUGCUGAUGGUUGUACCACAAGCCAGGUGGAGCAGAGACAGGAUGGACUUGGAAAAGAAGCAUAUGGACAUUUAUAACUCUGUUUCAAGAGCCUGUGGAUGCCCUGAAUGGCCCGUUUUAAAAAAUAACAUAUGAGUUCGCCUGAACCUGCCGUAAACAGAUUUUGAUACAUAUUACGCAUUAUCCAAAACAUGUACAGAAUGCAGCACUAUACCAUAUUCACAUGACCUAAAUAAUAAAAUAUAAAAAGGUGUACAGAGAAAAACCUC